UUUCCGUAGGUGAACCUGCGGAAGGAUCAUUAUUGUAUAACCGAGGUGCGAGGGCCGUCGCUGACCCGAAAGGUCGUGCACGCCCGAGUGCCCUCACACACAUCCAUCUCACCCCUGUGUGCACCACCGCGUGGGUCCCCCUUUGGCUUGUUCGGAGGGGGGCUUACGUUUUCACACAAACUUUGUAUGCAGUGUAGAAUGUAUUUUUUGUUUUUGCGAUCACGCAAUCAAUACAACUUUCAACAACGGAUCUCUUGGCUCUC
RNAcentral lists this unclassified non-coding RNA (263 nucleotides) under plant metagenome. RNAcentral describes it as "partial contains small subunit ribosomal RNA, internal transcribed spacer 1, and 5.8S ribosomal RNA". The record is from RNAcentral.